This 446-nucleotide ribosomal RNA is filed under the name uncultured bacterium. RNAcentral describes it as "bacterial SSU rRNA". It matches the Rfam family "Bacterial small subunit ribosomal RNA", at positions 505 to 949 of the family's 1533-position model. The record is from RNAcentral.
GUGCCAGCAGCCGCGGUAAUACGUAGGUGGCAAGCGUUGUCCGGAUUUAUUGGGCGUAAAGCGAGCGCAGGCGGUUUUGUAAGUCUGCUGUGAAAGCCCUCAGCUCAACUGAGGAAGUGCAGUGGAAACUACAAAACUUGAGUACAGAAGAGGAAAGUGGAACUCCAUGUGUAGCGGUGAAAUGCGUAGAUAUAUGGAAGAACACCAGUGGCGAAGGCGGCCUUCUGGACAGAUACUGACGCUGAGAUGCGAAAGCGUGGGGAGCAAACAGGAUUAGAUACCCUGGUAGUCCAUGCCGUAAACGAUGAAUACUAGGUGUUGGAGGGUUUCCGCCCUUCAGUGCCGCAGCUAACGCAUUAAGUAUUCCGCCUGGGGAGUACGACCGCAAGGUUGAAACUCAAAGGAAUUGACGGGGGCCCGCACAAGUGGUGGAGCAUGUGGUUUAA